This 492-nucleotide ribosomal RNA is filed under the name uncultured bacterium. Its description in RNAcentral is "partial 16S ribosomal RNA". It matches the Rfam family "Bacterial small subunit ribosomal RNA", at positions 29 to 507 of the family's 1533-position model. The record is from RNAcentral.
AGUGAACGCUGGCGGUAGGCCUAACACAUGCAAGUCGAACGGCAGCACAGUAAGAGCUUGCUCUUACGGGUGGCGAGUGGCGGGCGGGUGAGGAGUACAUCGGAAUCUACUUUUUCGUGGGGAAUAACGUGGGGACAGUUCUGCUAAUACCGAAUAUGAUGAACGGGUGAAAGCAGGGGAUCUUGGCGCUUUUGCCGUUUGAUUUAGCGGGUGCCGGAUUAGCUAGUUGGGGGGGUAAAGGCACACCAAGGCGACGAUACGUAGCUGGUCUGAGAGGAUGAUCAGCCACACUGGAACUGAGACACGGUCCAGACUCCUACGGGAGGCAGCAGUGGGGAAUAUUGGACAAUGGGCGAAAGCCUGAUCCAGCCAUACCGCGUGAGUGAAGAAGGCCUUCGGGUUGUAAAGCCCUUUUGUUGGGAAAGAAAAGCAGCAGGUUAAUACCCCGCUGUUCUGACGGUACCCAAAGAAUAAGCACCGGCUAACUUCGUG